GACGAACGCUGGCGGCGUGCUUAACACAUGCAAGUCAUGGGGGCCCGCAAGGGCAACCGGCGAACGGGUGCGUAACACGUGAGCAACCUACCGAUUUGUGGGGGAUAGCCGGCCUAACGGCCGGGUAAUACCGCAUAUGAUGUUCGGCCCGCAUGGGCCGAACACCAAACUCCUUAUACGAGGCAAAUCGAGGGGCUCGCGUCCUAUCAGCUAGUUGGCGAGGUCACGGCUCACCAAGGCGACGACGGGUAGCUGGUCUGAGAGGAUGGCCAGCCACAUUGGGACUGAGAAACGGCCCAGACUCCUACGGGAGGCAGCAGUGGGGAAUCUUGCGCAAUGGACGAAAGUCUGACGCAGCGACGCCGCGU
RNAcentral lists this ribosomal RNA (368 nucleotides) under uncultured bacterium. RNAcentral's name for it is "bacterial SSU rRNA". It matches the Rfam family "Bacterial small subunit ribosomal RNA", at positions 28 to 402 of the family's 1533-position model. The record is from RNAcentral.